Molecule: ribosomal RNA, 484 nt
Filed under: uncultured bacterium
Lineage: Bacteria
Description: partial 16S ribosomal RNA
Rfam family: Bacterial small subunit ribosomal RNA
Source: RNAcentral
AUUGAACGCUGGCGGCAGGCCUAACACAUGCAAGUCGAGCGGAUGAAGGGAGCUUGCUCCUGGAUUCAGCGGCGGACGGGUGAGUAAUGCCUAGGAAUCUGCCUGGUAGUGGGGGAUAACGUCCGGAAACGGGCGCUAAUACCGCAUACGUCCUGAGGGAGAAAGUGGGGGAUCUUCGGACCUCACGCUAUCAGAUGAGCCUAGGUCGGAUUAGCUAGUUGGUGGGUAAAGGCCUACCAAGGCGACGAUCCGUAACUGGUCUGAGAGGAUGAUCAGUCAAACUGGAACUGAGACACGGUCCAGACUCCUACGGGAGGCAGCAGUGGGGAAUAUUGGACAAUGGGCGAAAGCCUGAUCCAGCCAUGCCGCGUGUGUGAAGAAGGUCUUCGGAUUGGAAAGCACUUUAAGUUGGGAGGAAGGGCAGUAAGUUAAUACCUUGCUGUUUUGACGUUACCAACAGAAUAAGCACCGGCUAACGUCGUGC